CUGCUCCACCUGCAGUGUGAUAGGGAAUCUCUGUUGCCACGGAGGGCAGCUCAGUCCAGCGGGGAGGAGGAGCUGUCCCGGGCGGGUGGGCAGGGCCAGUUGGGAGACACAGGUGUCUGGAAGGACCCAGUGGAUGAGGCCUGGAGCUAAAGGCCAGACCCUGAGGACACAGUCCCGCCGCGUCUUCUAGAGAAAGUCAGACCCAGCAGGGCAGGUGCCAGGCGGGUGCUGUGCCUGCCUCUUGAUGCUGGGAACCUCCUCUCCAGCCUGGUCCCUCACCAGAGGCAGCCCUUAAAGACUAUCCACCCCACCCCCUCAUUUACUCAUGGGGAAACUGAGUCCCACAGAACAAACGGGCAGCAGCACCAGGCCUCCUGCUCUCAGGGACGGGCCAGCAGGGAGAGAGCAGUGACCAGAACCCAGGACCCCGCC
This 432-nucleotide long non-coding RNA is filed under the name Macaca fascicularis (crab-eating macaque). RNAcentral's name for it is "lncRNA (ENSMFAG00000063493.1)". Lineage: Eukaryota; Metazoa; Chordata; Mammalia; Primates; Cercopithecidae. The record is from RNAcentral.